UGGUAGUNCACGCCGUAAACGAUGAACACUAGGUGUCGGGAGGAAUUUCGGUGCCGGCGCAAACGCAAUAAGUGUUCCGCCUGGGGAGUACGUUCGCAAGAAUAAAACUCAAAGGAAUUGACGGGGACCCGCACAAGUAGCGGAGCAUGUGGUUUAAUUCGAAGCAACGCGAAGAACCUUACCUAAGCUUGACAUGGGGAUGAAAAGCAAUGUAAAGUUGUAAUGAUACUUUCGGGUAUACAUCCCACACAGGUGGUGCAUGGUUGUCGUCAGCUCGUGUCGUGAGAUGUUGGGUUAAGUCCCGCAACGAGCGCAACCCCUAUUGAUAGUUGCCAGUGCGUUAUGGUAGGCACUCUAUCAAGACAGUUAUGGAUAACAUAAAGGAAGGUGGGGAUGACGUCAAAUCAUCAUGCCCCUUAUGCUUAGGGCUACACACGUGCUACAAUGGCUGUAACAAAGAGAAGCUAAGUCGUAAGGCGGAGCAAACCUGAAAAAAGCAGUCCAAGUUCGGAUUGUGGGCUGAA
This 524-nucleotide ribosomal RNA is filed under the name uncultured bacterium. RNAcentral describes it as "bacterial SSU rRNA". It matches the Rfam family "Bacterial small subunit ribosomal RNA", at positions 788 to 1309 of the family's 1533-position model. The record is from RNAcentral.